CCUACGGGUGGCAGCAGUGAGGAAUAUUGGUCAAUGGCCGGAAGUCUGAACCAGCCAAGCCGCGUGAGGGACGACGGCCCUAUGGGUUGUAAACCUCUUUUGUAAGAGAGUAAUCAUUGCUACGUGUAUCCUGCUGCCUGUACCUUACGAAUAAGCAUCGGCUAACUCCGUGCCAGCAGCCGCGGUAAUACGGAGGAUGCAAGCGUUAUCCGGAUUUAAUGUGUUUAAAGGGUGCGGAGGCGGGUUGAUAAGUUAGGGGUUAAAUGUCCGGGCUUAACUCCGGAACUGCCUCUAAUACUGUAAGUCUAGAGUGGAGAUGCGGUAGGCGGAAUGAAUGAUGUAGCGGUGAAAUGCUUAGAGAUCAUACAGAACACCGAUAGCGAAGGCAGCUUACCAGUCU
This 400-nucleotide ribosomal RNA is filed under the name uncultured bacterium. Its description in RNAcentral is "partial 16S ribosomal RNA". It matches the Rfam family "Bacterial small subunit ribosomal RNA", at positions 338 to 735 of the family's 1533-position model. The record is from RNAcentral.